The sequence is a regulatory RNA element, 173 nucleotides long. It matches the Rfam family "rncO". Rfam says of the family: This family represents a bacterial regulatory element (rncO) found in the rnc leader sequence. The rnc operon is negatively auto-regulated by transcript stability. rnc, the first gene in the operon codes for RNase III which cleaves the long rncO stem II leading to transcript degradation and a reduction in translation. The record is from Rfam.
UUUAAAAACGGUUGGCUUCCUGCGAGUCAGGGAGCCACUGCACACCAAACAGAACGUGCUGGACCUUCAGCCCUGUUUGGUAUGCAGAGUCACAGACGCACAGAACAACUGGAAUCGCAUGAACCCCAUCCUCAUUAACAAGCUGCAGCGCAAACUGGGCUACACUUUUACUC